CAUUGUGACCCAGGCCCUUCCUCGUGCCUGCUUGGGUGAUGCUAGAGGCCUGCUGGCCAUGGUGCCCUCUGGCUAAAAUGCUGCCAUAAAAUGACUCCAGAGGAGAAAUGGACCAAUACUACAGCUGCAACUAGAGGAGAUUAUGACACCUACAUGCCUCUCUUCCCUGAAGUAUCCGACCUUCACAAGCCAGAACACAUAGCCAUCAGUCUGACACCAGCUGAAGGUGGCUUCAGGCAUGGCUUCAGCAUUUUGGCUCUGGAUGUGUUUUAACAUCAGUCUGGAAGGACCAGGGUAUACAAGGGUUUAGAUGUAAAAUUCCCUAUAAAAACGAUUGGUAGAUAAUUGUUUUUUUUUUUUCUCUUGUCACACUGCAAAUGGGGGUGUACAUGUAGAAAAAAAAAAACACAAAACAACAACAACAACAAAAACCACA
Long non-coding RNA from Cygnus olor (mute swan), 436 nucleotides. RefSeq lists it as uncharacterized. Lineage: Eukaryota; Metazoa; Chordata; Aves; Anseriformes; Anatidae. The transcript is spliced from 2 exons. The record is from RefSeq and is a predicted model, not a curated record.